UACGGAGGGUGCGAGCGUUAUCCGGAAUUACUGGGUUUAAAGGGUGCGUAGGCGGCCAAGUAAGUCAGGAGUGAAAGUUUGCGGCUCAACCGUAAAAUUGCUUUUGAUACUGCUUAGCUAGAAUCAGGAUGAGGUUAGCGGAAUGUGGCAUGUAGCGGUGAAAUGCAUAGAUAUGCCAUAGAACACCAAUUGCGAAGGCAGCUGGCUAGACCUGUAUUGACGCUGAGGCACGAAAGCGUGGGGAGCGAACAGG
Molecule: ribosomal RNA, 253 nt
Filed under: uncultured bacterium
Lineage: Bacteria
Description: partial 16S ribosomal RNA
Rfam family: Bacterial small subunit ribosomal RNA
Source: RNAcentral